UACAGAGAUCCCAAGCGUUAUUCGGAAUUAUUGGGCGUAAAGGGCGCGUAGGCGGCUUUUCAAGUGACGGGUGAAAUCCCUCGGCUUAACCGAGGAACUGCCUGUCAGACUGGAAGGCUUGAGACCGGGAGAGGUGAGUGGAAUUCCCAGUGUAGCGGUGAAAUGCGUAGAUAUUGGGAGGAACACCAGUGGCGAAGGCGGCUCACUGGACCGGAACUGACGCUGAGGCGCGAAAGCGUGGGGAGCAAACAGG
RNAcentral lists this ribosomal RNA (253 nucleotides) under uncultured bacterium. Its description in RNAcentral is "partial 16S ribosomal RNA". It matches the Rfam family "Bacterial small subunit ribosomal RNA", at positions 524 to 776 of the family's 1533-position model. The record is from RNAcentral.